UACGUAGGGUGCAAGCGUUAAUCGGAAUUACUGGGCGUAAAGCGUGCGCAGGCGGUGAUGUAAGAUAGUUGUGAAAACCCCGGGCUCAACCUGGGAACUGCAUCUGUGACUGCAUCGCUGGAGUGCGGCAGAGGGGGAUGGAAUUCCGCGUGUAGCAGUGAAAUGCGUAGAUAUGCGGAGGAACACCGAUGGCGAAGGCAAUCCCCUGGGCCUGCACUGACGCUCAUGCACGAAAGCGUGGGGAGCAAACAGG
RNAcentral lists this ribosomal RNA (253 nucleotides) under uncultured bacterium. RNAcentral describes it as "partial 16S ribosomal RNA". It matches the Rfam family "Bacterial small subunit ribosomal RNA", at positions 524 to 776 of the family's 1533-position model. The record is from RNAcentral.